GGUCAAUGAUGUCAUGUAAAAGGUCUGAACCUCAGUGCCCCUAUCUGUCCUAGCUCCCAGCAGCCCUUGCUCCCAGCUCCCAUCAUGCUCAAGUGAUGCAUUGAUGGUCCCAGCAGCUGCUGACAAACAGGAUGUGACAUCACAAUAUGAGUCUGCAAAGAGAGACAGUCGACUUAAUGAUGAUGUCAUCCAAUAUAGCCAAUCAUCAUGGAGCAUCAGGCCAGUAGGGCGGGGCCUGAGCACUGAUCUCACUCUGCUCCUGAGACC
Cheilinus undulatus (humphead wrasse) is the source of this 267-nucleotide non-coding RNA. RefSeq annotates it as small Cajal body-specific RNA 6. The record is from RefSeq and is a predicted model, not a curated record. Lineage: Eukaryota; Metazoa; Chordata; Actinopteri; Labriformes; Labridae. The transcript has a single exon.